GUAUGCCCCUACAGUCUUUUUAAUGCAGGCUUCUUAACGUUGAACACACCCCAUAGAGAUGCAUGGAUUCAAUGCAAUGUAUCUCUAUGAGGAGAUGCAGAUUGGCGCCCCACUGUGUUUUGCCGCAUAUGCACAAUAGCCUCCCAAAUUGGCUAAGAUCGUCAAGUUUGACGAUCUCAAUAAAAGAUGCAGGGCAGGGGGUGGGGAUAGCCUUGAUGAGACCUG
Molecule: non-coding RNA, 225 nt
Organism: Pelobates cultripes (western spadefoot toad)
Lineage: Eukaryota; Metazoa; Chordata; Amphibia; Anura; Pelobatidae
Source: the annotation of a GenBank genome assembly